Long non-coding RNA from Leopardus geoffroyi (Geoffroy's cat), 294 nucleotides. RefSeq lists it as uncharacterized. Lineage: Eukaryota; Metazoa; Chordata; Mammalia; Carnivora; Felidae. The record is from RefSeq and is a predicted model, not a curated record. The transcript has 2 exons.
CCUGAGCCGAAGUCUGACGCUCAAUCGACUAAACCACCCAGGGACUGAAGAUCAAAAGCACUCAAAACUAAGGCUGAACAACUAUUACUACUGCACAUAUUGUAAAUGGACGGGGAAAAUCUAUCAACGGUUUUCUUUAUGAUGUAUCCUACCUUUACUUAAGAGACAAAUGUUUCUUGUCAGAAAAGCUUUCUCAAACCACCCUAUCAAGAACAGGAGUCAGCAAACGAUGCACCAGGGGCCAAAUCUGAUCUGCUACACGUUUUAAUAAAGUUUUAUUGGAACACAGAUGAA